UACGUAGGGGGCAAGCGUUGUCCGGAUUUAUUGGGCGUAAAGCGCUCGCAGGUGGUUCGUCGCGUCGUGCGUGAAAGACCCCGGCUCAACUGGGGGGUGUCGUGCGAGUACGGGCGGACUGGAGGCCAGUAGGGGGAUGCGGAAUUCCGGGUGUAGUGGUGGAAUGCGUAGAGAUCCGGAGGAACACCAGCGGCGAAGGCGGCAUCCUGGACUGGUCCUGACACUCAUGAGCGAAAGCGUGGGGAGCGAGUCCGG
This 255-nucleotide ribosomal RNA is filed under the name uncultured bacterium. RNAcentral's name for it is "partial 16S ribosomal RNA". It matches the Rfam family "Bacterial small subunit ribosomal RNA", at positions 524 to 777 of the family's 1533-position model. The record is from RNAcentral.